RNAcentral lists this ribosomal RNA (252 nucleotides) under uncultured bacterium. Its description in RNAcentral is "partial 16S ribosomal RNA". It matches the Rfam family "Bacterial small subunit ribosomal RNA", at positions 525 to 776 of the family's 1533-position model. The record is from RNAcentral.
ACGUAGGUGGCGAGCGUUGUCCGGAUUUCCUGGGCGUAAAGGGAGCGUAGGCGGACUUUUAAGUGAGAUGUGAAGUACUCGGGCUCAACUUGAGUGCUGCAUUUCAAACUGGAAGUCUAGAGUGCAGGAGAGGAGAAUGGAAUUCCUAGUGUAGCGGUGAAAUGCGUAGAGAUUAGGAAGAACACCAGUGGCGAAGGCGAUUCUCUGGACUGUAACUGACGCUGAGGCUCGAAAGCGUGGGGAGCAAACAGG